AUUGAACGCUGGCGGCAUGCCUUACACAUGCAAGUCGAACGGUAACAGGUUAAGCUGACGAGUGGCGAACGGGUGAGUAAUGUAUCGGAACGUGCCCAGUCGUGGGGGAUAACUGCUCGAAAGAGCAGCUAAUACCGCAUACGACCUGAGGGUGAAAGCGGGGGAUCGCAAGACCUCGCGCGAUUGGAGCGGCCGAUAUCAGAUUAGGUAGUUGGUGAGGUAAAGGCUCACCAAGCCGACGAUCUGUAGCUGGUCUGAGGGGACGACCAGCCACACUGGGACUGAGACACGGCCCAGACUCCUACGGGAGGCAGCAGUGGGGAAUUGUGGACAAUGGGCGCAAGCCUGAUCCAGCCAUGCCGCGUGCGGGAAGAAGGCCUUCGGGUUGUAAACCGCUUUUGUCAGGGAAGAAAAGGUUCUGGCUAAUACCUGGGACUCAUGACGGUACCUGAAGAAUAAGCACCGGCUAACUACGUG
This 477-nucleotide ribosomal RNA is filed under the name uncultured bacterium. RNAcentral describes it as "partial 16S ribosomal RNA". It matches the Rfam family "Bacterial small subunit ribosomal RNA", at positions 30 to 507 of the family's 1533-position model. The record is from RNAcentral.